Molecule: small RNA, 124 nt
Filed under: Marmota monax (woodchuck)
Lineage: Eukaryota; Metazoa; Chordata; Mammalia; Rodentia; Sciuridae
Source: RNAcentral
GCUGGGCGUAGUGUUGCAUGCCUGUAAUUCCUGGGAUUCCGGGAGGCUGAGGCAGGAGGAUCACAAGUUCAAGGCCAGCCUUAAAAACUUAGGUCCUAAGCAACUUUCUGAGACCCUGUUUCAA